Molecule: ribosomal RNA, 422 nt
Filed under: uncultured bacterium
Lineage: Bacteria
Description: partial 16S ribosomal RNA
Rfam family: Bacterial small subunit ribosomal RNA
Source: RNAcentral
AAUUUUGGACAAUGGGGGAAACCCUGACCCAGCCAUCCCGCGUGUAUGAUGAAGGCCUUCGGGUUGUAAAGUACUUUUGGCAGAGAAGAAAAGGUAUCUCCUAAUACGAGAUCCUGCUGACGGUAUCUGCAGAAUAAGCACCGGCUAACUACGUGCCAGCGGCUGCGGUAAUACGUAGGGUGCAAGCGUUAAUCGGAAUGACUGGGCGUAAAACAGGUUUAGGAGGUUCAGAAAGAAGGAUGUAAAAACCCAGGGCUCAACCAUGGAGCUGCAUUUUUAACUGCCGAGCUAGAGUAUGUCAGAGGGGGGUAGAAUUCCACGUGUAGCAGUGAAAUGCGUAGAUAUGUGGAGGAAUACCGAUGGCGAAGGCAGCCCCCUGGGAUAAUACUGACGCUCAGACACGAAAGCGUGGGGAGCAAACA